Molecule: ribosomal RNA, 433 nt
Filed under: uncultured Lachnospiraceae bacterium
Lineage: Bacteria; Bacillati; Bacillota; Clostridia; Lachnospirales; Lachnospiraceae
Description: bacterial SSU rRNA
Rfam family: Bacterial small subunit ribosomal RNA
Source: RNAcentral
GAUGGCCUCGCGUCCGAUGAGCUAGUUGGUGAGGUAACGGCCCACCAAGGCGACGAUCGGUAGCCGGACUGAGAGGUUGAACGGCCACAUUGGGACUGAGACACGGCCCAGACUCCUACGGGAGGCAGCAGUGGGGAAUAUUGCACAAUGGGGGAAACCCUGAUGCAGCGACGCCGCGUGGAGGAAGAAGGUCUUCGGAUUGUAAACUCCUGUUGUCGAGGAAGAUAAUGACGGUACUCAACAAGGAAGUGACGGCUAACUACGUGCCAGCAGCCGCGAUAAACGUAGGUCACAAGCGUUGUCCGGAAUUACUGGGUGUAAAGGGAGCGCAGGCGGGCGAUCAAGUUGGAAGUGAAAUCCAUGGGCUCAACCCAUGAACUGCUUUCAAAACUGGUCGUCUUGAGUAGUGCAGAGGUAGGCGGAAUUCCCGGUG